CCCAGGGAACAAGACAUUGGCAGCAGCCAUUAUUGUGACCUAGUACAGGCAUGCUGACACAGAUGCCAGCAGACGCCAUUGGAGUUCUUCCUCUGGCCUGUUAGCCCAGGGGUUGGCACCACAUACUAAAGCACUGAUUUAAUCCAGUUCAGCCGUGGCAGGCAGUUGGCCCUUGGCACUGGCUGGCCCCACUCAACAGCAAGCCCUCAGGCAAUUCAUGGGCCCACAUAAGCAGGGUGCCUGAAAACUCUGGCUGCCAGAGAUGUGGCAGCCUCAGUUUUACAACCUUAGCCAACAUCAAGUGUGAAUAUAGAUCCAUGAAAGCCCAUUACUCUGUUUUCCCUUUAAAAUUGUCACAGACCUUCAGAUAUUUCCACGUACUUUUCAAAGACUUUCCUAAACAAGCCUGGGCUUUCAGUCUCUAACCUGGAAGACAGGUGGCCAACCAGGGCCUCCAGGCUCUCAUCCUACUGACAACUUCUGGCAUCCAG
Molecule: long non-coding RNA, 491 nt
Filed under: Equus caballus (horse)
Lineage: Eukaryota; Metazoa; Chordata; Mammalia; Perissodactyla; Equidae
Description: lncRNA (ENSECAG00000056390.1)
Source: RNAcentral